RNAcentral lists this ribosomal RNA (629 nucleotides) under uncultured eukaryote. Its description in RNAcentral is "SSU rRNA". It matches the Rfam family "Eukaryotic small subunit ribosomal RNA", at positions 610 to 1147 of the family's 1831-position model. The record is from RNAcentral.
UUGUUGCGGUUAAAACGUUCGUAGUUGAAUUUGUGUCCCACACGGGUAAUUGGCCCACUUACGGGUUCUUAUUACUUGCCGGCUUGCUGGCUUUAGUGUGCGGACGUUUUACCGGUGAGGGAAACGGUGUAGUUUCGGCUGCAAUACGCCCCUUAUUUAUUUCAUAAACCCGUCUUGGUGCUUUUAAUCGAGUGCCAAUGUGGGCCGGUACUAUUACUUUGAACAAAUUAGAGUGCUUAAAGCAGGCUAAAUUUAAUGAAAGUUAAAACGCCUGAAUAUAUUUUGCAUGGAAUAAUGGAAUAGGACCUCUGUUCUACUUUCAUUGGUUUUUAGACCAAGAGGUAAUGAUUAAUAGAAGCAGUUGGGGGCAUUAGUAUUACGAGGCGAGAGGUGAAAUUCGUAGACCCUCGUAAGACUAACUUAAGCGAAAGCAUUUGCCAAGGAUGUUUUCAUUAAUCAAGAACGAAAGUUAGAGGAUCGAAGGCGAUCAGAUACCGCCCUAGUUCUAACCAUAAACGAUGCCAGCUAGCAAUUGUAUGUAGCUACUAAUUUUGGUUCAUACAGUCGCUUUCCGGGAAACCAAAGCUUUUGGGCUCCGGGGGAAGUAUGGUUGCAAAGCUGAAACUUAA